UGCCAGCCGCCGCGGUAAUACGGAGGGUGCAAGCGUUGUUCGGAAUCAUUGGGCGUAAAGCGCGUGUAGGCGGCUUGGCAAGUCGGAUGUGAAAUCCCGGGGCCCAACCCCGGAACUGCAUUCGAAACUGCUUCGCUAGAGUCUCGGAGAGGAGAGCGGAAUUCCCGGUGUAGAGGUGAAAUUCGUAGAUAUCGGGAGGAACACCAGUGGCGAAGGCGGCUCUCUGGACGAUGACUGACGCUGAGACGCGAAAGCGUGGGGAGCAAACAGGAUUAGAUAC
Molecule: ribosomal RNA, 280 nt
Filed under: uncultured bacterium
Lineage: Bacteria
Description: partial 16S ribosomal RNA
Rfam family: Bacterial small subunit ribosomal RNA
Source: RNAcentral